GUGCCAUUUUAAAAAAGAAUACGUUCGAAAAAUAUUUGAUGACAACGAGAAGCUCGUGAACUGCAUUAAGUGUGUGACCAUCGCUUGGAGAUUGGAAGGGACCACAUGGAGAAAAAAUGGAAUCGCAC
Molecule: long non-coding RNA, 128 nt
Filed under: Danio rerio (zebrafish)
Lineage: Eukaryota; Metazoa; Chordata; Actinopteri; Cypriniformes; Danionidae
Description: lncRNA si:dkey-73n10.12 (ENSDARG00000096323.2)
Source: RNAcentral